This is a long non-coding RNA of Oncorhynchus kisutch (coho salmon), 489 nucleotides long. RefSeq lists it as uncharacterized. The record is from RefSeq and is a predicted model, not a curated record. NCBI's taxonomy places the organism in Eukaryota, Metazoa, Chordata, Actinopteri, Salmoniformes, Salmonidae. The transcript has 2 exons.
AGCACUGGGCCCAACAUCAACACACCCAGCCCAGCCUCAACAUGGGAAGAACCAGGCCCAGCCUCAACAUGGGCAGAACAAGACCCAGCCCCAACACCCUCAGACCUGCCUCAACAGGAAGAUUUAUCGUCUGGGAUUCAGGCCGGUCCUAACAGGAAACGUGACAAAGGGAAGCAGCUGUAAUGGAGCCUUCUAACACCCAAUCAGGUCUGGAGGAGGAAAGUCACAUAAAGAUUCAGAGAUGCUAUGAGUAUCUUUUGAAGUUACUCUCCAGUUGUAUCCAUUUGAAUAAAUACAGACAUGAAAAUGCUGGGCUACGGAUGUGACCUUGGUUCUGUGAGUAGAGUAACGGGUCACCAAACAAGCUAUGGGAACUCCUUCCCUUUAUCGUGAUGUGAUUGAGAUGCUUAAUAUCAACGAUGUUUACAAUGACGCCACACCCUUACUGUACCAUUGUGACCUGUCACUAUUAAAGGCGGUGUGACGUGA